AUUGAACGCUGGCGGCAUGCCUUACACAUGCAAGUCGAACGGCAGCACGGGUGCUUGCACCUGGUGGCGAGUGGCGAACGGGUGAGUAAUACAUCGGAACAUGUCCUGUAGUGGGGGAUAGCCCGGCGAAAGCCGGAUUAAUACCGCAUACGAUCCACGGAUGAAAGCGGGGGACCUUCGGGCCUCGCGCUAUAGGGUUGGCCGAUGGCUGAUUAGCUAGUUGGUGGGGUAAAGGCCUACCAAGGCGACGAUCAGUAGCUGGUCUGAGAGGACGACCAGCCACACUGGGACUGAGACACGGCCCAGACUCCUACGGGAGGCAGCAGUGGGGAAUUUUGGACAAAGGGCGAAAGCCUGAUCCAGCAAUGCCGCGUGUGUGAAGAAGGCCUUCGGGUUGUAAAGCACUUUUGUCCGGAAAGAAAGCCUUGACUCUAAUACAGUCGGGGGAUGACGGUACCGGAAGAAUAAGCACCGGCUAACUACGUG
RNAcentral lists this ribosomal RNA (486 nucleotides) under uncultured bacterium. RNAcentral's name for it is "partial 16S ribosomal RNA". It matches the Rfam family "Bacterial small subunit ribosomal RNA", at positions 30 to 507 of the family's 1533-position model. The record is from RNAcentral.